This 521-nucleotide long non-coding RNA is filed under the name Phasianus colchicus (ring-necked pheasant). Its description in RNAcentral is "lncRNA (ENSPCLG00000016634.1)". The record is from RNAcentral. Lineage: Eukaryota; Metazoa; Chordata; Aves; Galliformes; Phasianidae.
UUUUCAGCCAUUUUUGGGGGCACUUCCAGCCACUGUUCGUUUUCCAUUUGGAAAUGGGUGGGAAAUUGAGCAAAAUUGGGGCUGAAAUGGGGACGACCCACCCGGGGUGAAACACCGCCUUCUGAAGCCAUCGCCCCGAGUCCGUUCAGAUCUCCAAUUUGGGUGAAAAACAGCACAAAUACCUAUUUUCUCCCUUUCCUACACGUUUUUUGGGAGGUUUUGCUGCCGGGUUCUCUCUGCCUUUUCGUGUCGAGCGUCCACGCUGCCUCGGUUUUGGGAUAAUUUCCUGCGGUUUUGGUGCUUUCACUGAUCUGUGCGAAGAUCCCUUGCUGCCAACACCCUUUUUUUUUUUUUUUUUUUUUUUUUUUUUUUUUUUUUUUUUGUUUUUACCUCAGAACGAAACGGCCGCUUUUCCCUCGCGUAUCCCUCAGGGUUUUGGUUAAAAACGGAGCAAAAAGCCUCGCCCUGCUCACCGAGGAGCGGUAAAUAAAGAAAAUAUCCUUUAAAGUCCUUUUUUUUUU